UGGGGAAUUUUGGACAAUGGGCGAAAGCCUGAUCCAGCAAUGCCGCGUGUGUGAAGAAGGCCUUCGGGUUGUAAAGCACUUUUGUCCGGAAAGAAAUCCUUGGCUCUAAUACAGUCGGGGGAUGACGGUACCGGAAGAAUAAGCACCGGCUAACUACGUGCCAGCAGCCGCGGUAAUACGUAGGGUGCAAGCGUUAAUCGGAAUUACUGGGCGUAAAGCGUGCGCAGGCGGUUUGCUAAGACCGAUGUGAAAUCCCCGGGCUCAACCUGGGAACUGCAUUGGUGACUGGCAGGCUAGAGUAUGGCAGAGGGGGGUAGAAUUCCACGUGUAGCAGUGAAAUGCGUAGAGAUGUGGAGGAAUACCGAUGGCGAAGGCAGCCCCCUGGGCCAAUACUGACGCUCAUGCACGAAAGCGUGGGGAGCAAACAGGAUUAGAUACCCUGGUAGUCCACGCCCUAAAACGAUGUCAACUAGUUGUUGGGGAUUCAUUUCCUUAGUAACGUAGCUAACGCGUGAAGUCGACCGCCUGGGGAGUACGGUCGCAAGAUUAAAACUCAAAUGAAUUGACGGGG
RNAcentral lists this ribosomal RNA (571 nucleotides) under uncultured bacterium. Its description in RNAcentral is "partial 16S ribosomal RNA". It matches the Rfam family "Bacterial small subunit ribosomal RNA", at positions 355 to 918 of the family's 1533-position model. The record is from RNAcentral.